This 255-nucleotide ribosomal RNA is filed under the name Streptococcus suis. RNAcentral's name for it is "partial 16S ribosomal RNA". It matches the Rfam family "Bacterial small subunit ribosomal RNA", at positions 252 to 498 of the family's 1533-position model. The record is from RNAcentral. Lineage: Bacteria; Bacillati; Bacillota; Bacilli; Lactobacillales; Streptococcaceae.
GUGGGGUAACGGCUCACCAAGGCCUCGAUACAUAGCCGACCUGAGAGGGUGAUCGGCCACACUGGGACUGAGACACGGCCCAGACUCCUACGGGAGGCAGCAGUAGGGAAUCUUCGGCAAUGGGGGGGACCCUGACCGAGCAACGCCGCGUGAGUGAAGAAGGUUUUCGGAUCGUAAAGCUCUGUUGUAAGAGAAGAACGUGUGUGAGAGUGGAAAGUUCACACAGUGACGGUAACUUACCAGAAAGGGACGGCU